RNAcentral lists this ribosomal RNA (253 nucleotides) under uncultured bacterium. Its description in RNAcentral is "partial 16S ribosomal RNA". It matches the Rfam family "Bacterial small subunit ribosomal RNA", at positions 524 to 776 of the family's 1533-position model. The record is from RNAcentral.
UACGGGGGGGGCAAGCGUUGUUCGGAAUUACUGGGCGUAAAGGGCUCGUAGGCGGCCAACUAAGUCAUACGUGAAAUCCCUCGGCUUAACCGGGGAACUGCGUCUGAUACUGGAUGGCUUGAGAUUGGGAGAGGGAUGCGGAAUUCCAGGUGUAGCGGUGAAAUGCGUAGAUAUCGAGAGGAACACCUGCGGCGAAGGCGGGUUGCUGGGCCGACACUGACGCUGAUGCGCGAAAGCCAGGGGAGCGAACGGG